ACACUGUGCACAUUCAAUCAUAAAAUGGAGCGCUUAAGAAGAUUGAGUCAGAUUUUGUUCCCAUCAUAUCAAUCAGAGCGUCGAUAUCUCCACGAGAGUGACGUUCGAAGCGUAUUCUAAUAAGUGAAUAAGGGUUCGUAAAAUGUGACAUGUAAAAGAGCGACCUUUCAUGCAUAUUAUAAAUUUUACUCUUAAUAACAUUUUUUUGUUCUCUAAGUAUCCAAAAUUCAUCGUAAUCUCGAAGGCACUUCCUCCAAAUUUUUUGAAAGAAGGAAAAAAACGUUGACAAUUGUGCGCAAAAUUGAAAAAUUAUGAUGGAUCGAGCCACCUAAUGGAUAUUUGACACCGACAAUGCCAUGCGUGAAUGUGGGGGAGGGAAGCCGUUAUUAAAACUUACCCCUUGAAAAGUCUCAGAGACGUGGAUCAGACAACAUUAAAAACUUUUCUCGAAAUAGGUUAUGGCAGCUAAUUCUGCUGCGUGAUGAUUAAUGUUAGCAGCUGUUCGAAUUGGCACCGCCACCGUGGAAAACCCAUUUCGCUAUCCAGGAAUAGGAAAAAAGCCCGAUUUUUUUCAAAAUGCAAUUAAAUUUCAACCACCAACAAUAAUUGCAGCCGGUUUUAGUUGCUUUAUUUUGUUUGUUUGUCGGGAAAGUGGAAUGUUUUCAAGCGUACUCCACAAAUAAAUCAUUUUAAAGCCGGGGAAAAAGUUGGCGAUUCACUGAGGGUGAGAAAAUAAACAUUGACAUUGAGUAAGUGAGGGAUUCGUUGGCCUUAUUAAAUAAAGGAGAUCGAAACUGGCAUACCAUAGGAGGGUCACGAUGGAAGUAAUGGCACAAAAAGCUAAAAGCGACUACGGUGAAAUUACAUGAAUAAACGGACGAAUUAGGAUACAAAAUAAGGAAAAACGACGCGCAAAUUGACGCUUUUAUACUAGCUGA
This is a long non-coding RNA of Tribolium madens (black flour beetle), 938 nucleotides long. RefSeq lists it as uncharacterized. The transcript has 3 exons. Lineage: Eukaryota; Metazoa; Arthropoda; Insecta; Coleoptera; Tenebrionidae. The record is from RefSeq and is a predicted model, not a curated record.